ACGCCAGACUCCUACGGGAGGCAGCAGUGAGGAAUAUUGGUCAAUGGGCGGAAGCCUGAACCAGCCAAGUCGCGUGAGGGAAUAAGGCCCUACGGGUCGUAAACCUCUUUUGCCGGGGAGCAAGGGCGGGGACGUGCCCCGGCCCGGAGAGUACCCGGAGAAAAAGCAUCGGCUAACUCCGUGCCAGCAGCCGCGGUAAUACGGAGGAUGCGAGCGUUAUCCGGAUUUAUUGGGUUUAAAGGGUGCGUAGGCUGUGAGGUAAGUCAGCGGUGAAAUGCCCCCGCUCAACGGGGUGAAGUGCCAUUGAUACUGCCUUGCUGGAAUGCGGAUGCCGUGGGAGGAAUGUGUGGUGUAGCGGUGAAAUGCAUAGAUAUCACGCAGAACUCCGAUUGCGAAGGCAGCAUACCGGCGCCCAACUGACGCUGGAGCACGAAAGCGUGGGUAUCGAACAGGAUUAGAUACCCUUGUA
This 469-nucleotide ribosomal RNA is filed under the name uncultured bacterium. Its description in RNAcentral is "bacterial SSU rRNA". It matches the Rfam family "Bacterial small subunit ribosomal RNA", at positions 328 to 792 of the family's 1533-position model. The record is from RNAcentral.